This 657-nucleotide ribosomal RNA is filed under the name alpha proteobacterium IMCC14710. RNAcentral describes it as "bacterial SSU rRNA". It matches the Rfam family "Bacterial small subunit ribosomal RNA", at positions 38 to 743 of the family's 1533-position model. The record is from RNAcentral. Lineage: Bacteria; Pseudomonadati; Pseudomonadota; Alphaproteobacteria.
GGCGGCAGGCCUAACACAUGCAAGUCGAGCGCACCUUCGGGUGAGCGGCGGACGGGUUAGUAACGCGUGGGAACGUACCCUUUUCUACGGAAUAGCCUUUGGAAACGAAGAGUAAUACCGUAUAUGCCCUUUGGGGGAAAGAUUUAUCGGAGAAGGAUCGGCCCGCGUUAGAUUAGAUAGUUGGUGGGGUAACGGCCUACCAAGUCUACGAUCUAUAGCUGGUUUUAGAGGAUGAUCAGCAACACUGGGACUGAGACACGGCCCAGACUCCUACGGGAGGCAGCAGUGGGGAAUCUUAGACAAUGGGCGCAAGCCUGAUCUAGCCAUGCCGCGUGAGUGAUGAAGGCCUUAGGGUCGUAAAGCUCUUUCGCCUGUGAUGAUAAUGACAGUAGCAGGUAAAGAAACCCCGGCUAACUCCGUGCCAGCAGCCGCGGUAAUACGGAGGGGGUUAGCGUUGUUCGGAAUUACUGGGCGUAAAGCGCACGUAGGCGGAUUGGAAAGUUGGGGGUGAAAUCCCGGGGCUCAACCCCGGAACUGCCUCCAAAACUAUCAGUCUAGAGUUCGAGAGAGGUGAGUGGAAUUCCAAGUGUAGAGGUGAAAUUCGUAGAUAUUUGGAGGAACACCAGUGGCGAAGGCGGCUCACUGGCUCGAUACUGA